Molecule: long non-coding RNA, 550 nt
Organism: Hylaeus volcanicus
Lineage: Eukaryota; Metazoa; Arthropoda; Insecta; Hymenoptera; Colletidae
Exons: 3
Source: RefSeq, a predicted model, not a curated record
GUCGGCACCUCCGUCUGCCAGGAAGUCGAGUCCUGUCGCAGAAAGAAAAGAUUGCUCACGGAUCGUUCGACUCUUGUUGGUUCCGCAAGGGGGAGGAAACAAGGGAAACAAGGCUCUGAGAUCUUAGAACUUGGAAUCCUUCGAAGGAUCGGACGAGGAAAGGAUAGCACCGGGGACUCGAGAAGUUACAGGAGCUCGCUAUUAAUAUCAGUAGCAACAAGUGCAGAACCAAUAGUCACAGUAGGGGGCUCCGUGGCGGAGUCCUAUUACGAGUGAACACUGGUAGCAGUAUUAUCAGCAAUUUCAUCACCACUAAUCGCCGUAGUAAUACAGUUUGGAACAGAGCUAACACUAGAGCUGAUCAACAGUCAACGCGCACUUACCAUACAAGCUAUCUUAUCUUUGAAAGAAGCAGGUUUCUCGAACCUACCCAUAGUGAUUGGUUACGUUGCGAAGAUCGUCUGUCUCGCGGUGAUGGGAGGUGGACGGGUCAGGUGGCGUCGGAUAGAACCCGGGCGUCUGGAGGACCCCGGUCGCCAAAGCGCUGCAC